Molecule: long non-coding RNA, 205 nt
Organism: Stylophora pistillata
Lineage: Eukaryota; Metazoa; Cnidaria; Anthozoa; Scleractinia; Pocilloporidae
Source: RefSeq, a predicted model, not a curated record
UUCAAGCUCUGUGACACAAACUGCCAAUUCAGAGGUGAAGCCAAAACCUGAACCAAAGGAAGAGAAGAAGAGAAAAACUUGGAACAUUAGGGUUCUAAAACCUCAGCAAGGACACACUUCUCCACCUCUACCGGACAGAACAAGGUCCAAGAAGCCAAACUCCCGACCAGCCACAGCCCCAGAGAAACCUCUUAAUUCCAGCUUU